CUCCGAUAAGGGCAAACCGCCGGCGACGGCGGGGCGCAAAGCCACGGGGUCUCGGUCUCGCCUGAGACAGCCCAGCCACCAGA
This 83-nucleotide non-coding RNA is filed under the name Gemmatimonadota bacterium. Its description in RNAcentral is "Gemmatimonadetes bacterium c-di-GMP sequence". It matches the Rfam family "c-di-GMP-I riboswitch aptamer". From Rfam's summary of the family: GEMM was predicted in a large-scale screen for bacterial structured RNA regulatory elements. Genes associated with GEMM are involved in a diverse array of functions, including chemotaxis regulation, signal transduction, secretion and chitin. The record is from RNAcentral. Lineage: Bacteria; Pseudomonadati; Gemmatimonadota.